AUUUUGUCAGACUGCCCCUCUGAAGCCAUCUAUUGCACAGCAACUAGCAGAAGCAGGAGCUGCCUUCUUGGGGUGGUCUCAAAAGACAUUGGUCUUCAAUUUAGAGAUUUAGCAUAAGGUAUGUGGAGAAAGCUGUAGUUCGAACACACUUUUUUGACCUAAGCUUGUCCAAUACAAACAUACUCAAAAUACUACGUGCAAGAAACCUUGCUAAAGAUGAACACAUAUAUGAAUAUAUAUCUCUAUAUGGCUCCUAAAAACAAUACUUUUCUGAAACCCUUGUGGAGCUGAGAUAUCUUUUAGCAUUAAUGAUAGUGUUUAGAAAAGAACCAUUAUUGUGUUCCUUAGAACAUAUCUUGAUAUGGUGAUUUUUUCCCAAGAAGGGGUAGUGUAAUGGAGCAGGUUCUUUGAACAUUACAGCAAGGGAAGAAAGCUUUCUUAGGGUCAGUGGCUGGGAUAUGUGGAAUGCUGUUUGCUGAAAGGGUUUUGUGAUCAGAGAAUACUAGAUGUUUACAGAAAAAAGGACCCUUUGGUAUGGCUAUUGCUGGCAGAAACUUGUAAAUCUAAGUACAGCGAGCGAGCUCGCAGUUAGAAACAUACUUCUGUUCUGUUUUAACACAAGAUCAAAGCAUAUAAACAAAUACGGUAUUUUGGGAUUGUGUUAUGGUAGCAUUUAGGCUACCAGAACUGUAAGUCAAAUGCUCAGAAAUCGAUUGCUUUGAAUAGAAACCUGAUGAAAUAGCUUAAAUAAAAAUAUUUCUGAAAAAAUAAAAUGUACAGUUUAUAUAAAAACCUGGAGUAGUAUUGUAUACAUGCUUUAGAAGGCAACACCCUGCCUUUUUAAUUCUUAAGCUUUAAAGUAGUUCUAUAAACGAUAAAAUCACUUCCCAAACAGUACAAGAUUUUGGCUUUUUGAAACAUUCAUUAUGUUGAAUCCUCUGAGAAGUUGGCCCCAUCUUGAUGGAUUUCUCAAAAGAUUUAUAAUUUUUGCCUUUUUCAUGUCAUUUUUCUUUUAUUCUAUCAACUCAAGUGAAUCAUCCUUAUUGUAAUGAAUAGCACCGAAACAAGGCUUAAAUCAUACUUCCUCAGUUAAAAAACAAAGUCUUAUUUUGCCAGUCUAGAAUAUCUAUUUUCUACACAAUGAUAUGCAAUCUUUGUAACUCCAUCCAGUAUUUGCCAGGCAAAAGUAAAAGUGAUACUUAAUAUUACAAAGCGAUUAAUACAGCUAUAUCACAGUAACUAAUUUGAUUUGUUAUAUUUGUCAAAAUAGAUAGGACUGUAUUUGUGUAUGCAGUGCAGUAUAGUUUUAUCUAUUCAGUUCUGACACAAAUAUAUCUGUGCAGUUGCUGUUAUUUUCACUUAGAAUCAAUUAAAUAAAAGCUCUUU
Gallus gallus (chicken) is the source of this 1386-nucleotide long non-coding RNA. The record is from Ensembl. NCBI's taxonomy places the organism in Eukaryota, Metazoa, Chordata, Aves, Galliformes, Phasianidae.